This 501-nucleotide ribosomal RNA is filed under the name uncultured bacterium. RNAcentral's name for it is "bacterial SSU rRNA". It matches the Rfam family "Bacterial small subunit ribosomal RNA", at positions 25 to 518 of the family's 1533-position model. The record is from RNAcentral.
CAGAACGAACGCUGGCGGCGCGUUUAAGCAUGCAAGUCGAGCGGCAAGGGCCUUCGGGCCCCUAGAGCGGCGGACGGGUGAGUAACACGUGGACAAUCUGCCCCCGGCCCGGGAUAGGCCCAGGGAAACCUGGAUUAAUACCGGAUGAGACGGGACCCGCGAAGGCGGACCCGGGAAAGGCGCUGCGGCGCCGCCGGGGGAUGAGUCUGCGUCCCAUUAGCUAGACGGCGGGGUAACGGCCCACCGUGGCGACGAUGGGUAGCCGGCCUGAGAGGGUGGACGGCCACAUUGGAACUGAGACACGGUCCAGACUCCUACGGGAGGCAGCAGCUAAGAAUCUUCCGCAAUGGGCGAAAGCCUGACGGAGCCGACGCCGCGUGAACGAAGAAGGCCGUGAGGUUGUAAAGUUCUUUUCGGGAGGGGAACAACCGUGGCAGGGAAUGGCCGCGGGAUGACGUGAAUCCCGGAAUAAGCCCCGGCUAACUACGUGCCAGCCGCCGC